Parus major (Great Tit) is the source of this 10588-nucleotide long non-coding RNA. RefSeq lists it as uncharacterized. The transcript has 2 exons. The record is from RefSeq and is a predicted model, not a curated record. Lineage: Eukaryota; Metazoa; Chordata; Aves; Passeriformes; Paridae.
ACAGCAAUUUGCAGUGAUUUCAAUAUCUGCUUCAGCAGAAUAUUUCAACAAUAACACAAAUCUGUGGCAAAAGUUAGUACUUGAAAAAGUUCUUGUACCUUAUAAAGGUGCUACUUAUGAAUGCAAUAAGUGACAUAAAUAUGCCAAUGAAUCUGACUUGUCUGUAUAGGUGACAUACCCACUUGUAAAAUACAUCAGAAAUAAAGCCCAGGUGCUUUGUGAAGAUGAGGUAAGUUCUUUAGUGAGGUCUUUGAUAAAACUUUAUUUUUUUAAUUAUAAGAGGUGAAAAUUAGAUAAAUGAUAGCUUUUGCAAUGAAUGAAAUAAUUUAAUUCCAAAUACAAUAACCGUAAAUUUUGCAUACCUAAUAAAUGUCUUAUUUCUAUAUUCAGGCAUGAUCAUUAAAUUUUUAACAAGCUUACUACUGAAUUCAUUAAUUCCAGAAAUAUCGUUACUGAUGUGUCCCUUGGCUAAAGCAGGCAUCCAUCUACACCUUAAAAAUAUUUUUGUUAAUUUACAAAAAACAGUAACUUUAUCUAUUUCUCCCUAUUACUGUGAUAAAAUGUUGAUAAAUUUAAGUAGCCUGUGUUUGCUAAGCAUUUUUUGGUUUUGUUUUUUUCAAUAUAAAAGAAAAAAUCUCAAUUGAAUGUGCAAUGGAAGCAAGUGUUUUUCCAGUUCAGCAGUUUCUGCUGAAUUGUAAACAAUCAGGUUGUUUCAAAAGGAGAGUAGCAUGGUCCAUAACUCUGACAGCUAGUAGUAGUUUAGUUUACUGCUUCUACCACCUGCCUUCUGACUUAAUAUUGGAAGCAAGAAGCAUGCAAUUAAGUAUGAGGAAAUGAAAAUAAAUGACACUGUUCAUUGCACAAUACAAAGUGCCUGGCAGAAAGAAUGCAGCUUGCCUGGACCUGAUAACCCCAGGGGAAAACAUGUCUCGUGCCUGGGAAAGCACCAGCAAAUCAGACCCUGACCCUGGCUUUAUCCACUAUCAAAUGCAUUGGUUUCCUUCUUAACAAUUUGAAACUUUUUUUUUAAUUAUAACUGAGUUCUGAAAAGCAGAGAAAUAUAAAAUGGAACAUGUACUGAGUGUGUGGUAGAAGAUACAGGAUACCAAAAAUGCAGGAGUAUUUUCUUUAUCAUUUCUUGAGGAAAGUUAUUUGCAUUACAUCCUUAAUUGGGCUAAUUUGAACUGGUUAUUAAAUUCUAAGGCUUCUAGAGGUGAAGAGGGUUUUGAAAGAAAAAUUCCAUCUAGGCAGCAAUAUUGAAUUCAAUGCAAUUAUUAUAACUUACUAUUAUAACUCAAACCCUCCCCUCAUUCCAGAGUCUGAUUAAAACCCCUUUCAUUUUAAAAUGCCUGUUUUGUGAAUGCUAUACCCUUUUACCUAUAUAUGGCUCAUACAGUGGUUAGAACAUAAAAGCAAUAAUUGUUUUUAAAUAAUUUUUCCUAAAUUAUCUAAGCAUCUUUACAGAGGUAAGUAAAUGCUAUCCUGACAUUACAGAAUAGGAAGAAACUGCACCGCAGAGGAAUCUGAUGGCUUGCUCAGAACACAUAACACAUCAAAGAGUAGUUCAAAGUGAGACAAGCAGUUCUGCAACAAAAUAAAGAUUUUGACAUAAAUCAAGUUAUUUUGCUACAGAAGUCAAAUUUGUCUUAUUUUAGAUGAAUGUAGGUGCAUUACAGAUUAAUUAAAACAUUAGAGAUUACUGUAAAUCAUUAAUUCAGCACUACCGUCUGAUUUAGUUGGCCAGGUAUAAAUAGUGGUGAAACUUUCAUAAUGAAAGCAGAAGCAAGUAGAGAUUUUCAUGUGUUCAUGAUCUGGUACAAAACUAGAACUCAGAUGAGAUAUGCCAAAAUUUGUAAACUUUUCAGUGAAGCUAAAUAGCCAGAGAAUAUUAUAGGACAGAUAAUUUCAGUUAGAAAUGCUGCCAAGACUUGGUGGUUUUUAAUGAUUUCAUCCUGAAGAAAAGAGCAUCUUGGUAGCUUGAUAGGUAUUGUUUUGAGUAUAAUUUUUUUCACCUCAUAACCCAAAGUAAAACUCAAGGGUGCAAACUCAGCAGGAAUUGAAACCUAUUAGGGAGUCACAGACCCUUCAUUCCAAAACCACCAACUUUCACAUUUCUGGCUGUAUGCAAGUACAACAUACUUCUUUUUUUUUUAAUAUACUUCUUUCUUUUUCUUUAAUAUUGUAUGCACACUCUAUAGAAGGAUUUUUCAUAUUUCGACCAGAUUUUAGGUAAGUUCCUCACAUUCUGUGAAAGGUAAUAUUCUUUACUGCACUUCUUCACAGGGCUUUUUAGACCUCAGUAGAAAAAAAAAAAAAAAAAGUAUUUGGAUGUCAGUCAUUGAGUCUCUGCUAGUUAAAAAUCAUGUCUUUCAGAGAUGCUUUCUAUCCACAGUCCUGCACAACAUGAAAUAUGGUUGACAGCUAUAUAACCACACUGCAGAUUGCAAAGCAAUUCACAUUCACACUUCUAAGUGCCUCUCCUUUCAAGACUUAUGGAUGUAUGCCAAAUUACUUGCAUUGUGGUAUAUGGCCUUCUAUAUGUACUUUAUAGAAUAGGUCUCUGGUUUCCAUUAAAAUCAAUGAAGUAGAGACCAAAAGAGGUUUUCUGAAGUGUUUACUAGAUGUCAGACAAGGUUAAUAAUAAAAUACUUCAUGUAUAAUAUGCAUCUUCAAUAUAUUUCAGUGUUUAUCUUUAAGAAGAUAUUUUCUGAAUUUAGGAUGGAAAUUUCCCAGCUAAAUUUAAAUGCUGAGUAGUGUUAAGUUCAACUGUCAUUGUUUGCUCCCCAUUAGUGUCUCUGUAAAAAAUGAAUAUAUGAUUUCAUACCCUAUUUAGGAAGUGCUUCCAAAUGUAAUGGACCAGUAGCCAUUUAAGGAGCCUAAGGUCUUGUGUUAACAAAACUAUCAUGGUUAUCUCAAAUGAAAUGGGAAAGACACAAGAUACCCUCCAAUGCCAUUUCUUCUAGACAAAUUAGUGACUAUGCUAUGUCAUAAAGCCUUAUUCUUUGUCACUAUUUCAUUACAGCAGUUCUUUGUCAGACAAGUUAAAGAGUAUGUUCAGCAGUGGUUGUAUAAUAAUAUAAUGAACUUAUUAAUAAUUAUUAAAUAUUAGUAUGAUUAUUUUCAGGCAUAUUACUACGGUAACUGAGGCAAAAUGGUGGGUUUUAAAAAUAAAUACCUGUGACACACAUUAUAGUGACAAACCAAAUUUUGGGGGAGAGGAGAAAAGAGAGAGAUGCUCUGAAGAUACCCGAGUGAAAUACGGACUCAAAUGAAUUUAGUCAGUGUGAUGAAAAAUUGGCUUAAAGUGGGAGGAAGGGUGUAAAAUUGAGUGUAUGAUGGUGGGGACUACAUUUCACCUUUCUAUUUAUUUAUUUUUUUUUAUUUUUCCAAUUAUAUUAUUAAAGUUUCCCUUAGGACUACAGUGCCUAGAAGAAAGAAGCAAUAUAGUUUUAAAAUUGUCUUGAGAUUUAGAGGGAAAAAAAGAAAUACAUGGAAGUCAUUAUCACCAGCUUUUGUCAGUAAUCCUAAAUCCAUGAGUUUUUUGUUCUUGUUAGAAGGAUGUGUUUUACCACAGUGGGGUAGGUAUAAGUUGAGUUAGUGACCUGUUUUUCCAUAUAACAUUGUAUUUUUGUAGCCCAGAGUUCCACAGAGUUGUGUUCUCGAAAGGAUAAAUGAAUUAUAUGCAGUGUUUUUCACUUGAACUGUACCACAUGUGAAAAUUGUUGGUCUGUACCUCAAAGAUGUUCUGUAAAAUCAUCUACUGUGGUUAGGAAACAUCAGUAUGUCCAUUUAUCAAAAUAACUUGAAAGAAAAUAUAGUGAAAAGGGACCUAAAUGUACUGGAGCAGUUGCACUAGAUAAUUCUCCAUAAGUAAAUUUGAAAGUGAAGCAAACUGAUGCCAUUUAGAAAAAUACUGGCCUAGUUAGUAAAACAGAAAGUUUGCUGGCUAAUUUCAAAAUGUAGAAAAUAAAUUUCUGAAUAUUAAAUUUAGUUUUUAAGAAGUCCUGUACAGGAACACAUUUCCCGUUGUCUCUGAAAAUAACCCAUGGAGGACAGAAGUAGAUUCCAGCAAACAGCGUGAGUACAGUAUGAUCUUUUAUUUGCUAUGCUCAUGUAUGCUUGGCAGUUGCUUUUGGUAGCCCUAACCUCCAUGAGCCUCAUCUAAUCUCUUGCAACAUUUGUGUCAUAGCAAGAAAGUUUGUCCACUGAAGUGGUGGAGUGGAAAAAGAGAAUCUCACAAGUGAGAAGUAUUUAUGCUUCCUUCACCAAGCUGUAAAGAGUCAACCACGGUUACAUAAGCCUUUCCUGCAGGGUUUCAGCAGCUCUAAACAUCGUCAACUAAGGUGACAAAAAUCAACAAAAGUACCCAAAAAGAGGCUGUAAGCAGCAUGAAAACAAAUGAAGGCAGAGAAAUUAAACUUUCAAAAAAAUCUUGCAGCCAUCCUUUAUGUUAAAAUAACUAAAAAUUAGAAAAAUAAAAAAUUAAAGGUGUUCUUAGUGCUUUGCCCAGGCCUUCUUUUGCAUUUCAACCAGAUGCUGGAGAUGAGGAAAAUGUGAACAAAUAGUUGCAUGAAGUGGUUUAGAAUGAACAUUAAUGCAAGAUGCAUUUUUGAGUCUAUAGGAAAUUUCUUUGUAAUGGCAGUGAAUGGAGAAAAAUGAAUUUCAGCUCAGAACUAUUGAUGCUAAAGUUGGAUUCUGUGCAGAUUGCUGGAGAAAACCCUUUCUAGAAAAUAGAGGAAAAUUAUGGCACAACAGUGACUGCCACCUGCUGCAGUUCUGAGUUAAAUGUGGGUGCCAGGAUAUUAUUUCCCAGCUGUUAUUAGCUCCUUGGUGGUUUCUGUAAAUGUGCUCCAAGAGAACUGGUCUGGAGACAGCUAACCAGAUUUUCAGCUGCUGACAAAAAAAGACAUUAUGAGUGUGAGGAAAACAUCAAAUUCUCGCUUUAAGUCCCUGGUGUCCUGUGCAAGGACCUCCUGCCAAAAUAUUUUCAACUAGCUCUUUAAUUUGUCUAUUUUUGUCCUUUACUGUUAGCCCGAAAGACCACAGCAAGUCCAGAACUAUGGUGUAAUAAAAUCCAGUGUUUCUGAAAAAAAUAUUUAAAGAAAGCUUAUAUACUUAUCCAACAGAAACAUUGGAGACAGCUUUUUACAUUUUUGGUUUAGCUUGAAAGCAGAGACCAAAAUCAUAGCCGCUGAUCCAGAGGUGCAAAAUGUAGCAAAGCUAGCAUUCAAAUGUGGCUGGUAGAAGCUGAGGAUGAUCAUAUUUCUUCACUGUGCACAUGUAAGUGUGGUCAAGUAUGAUGUCAAGUCUACCUCAGAACAUAUCUUGCUAUUUUGGCCUCAGAAUUGUGUGGAAAAUAAUCUGCUAUUGGCAAAUGCAUGUAGAACAGUGUUGAAAAAAUAAUGGGAAGUGGUGAUUUUUUACAGUUGAAAAGAAAAAUCUCUUCAGAAGAGAAAAAAUGUGAUAUAUUAGCAUAAUAGUGUCAUCAAAGAUCAAGUGUUAUAGUAUUUUAUAUUUUUACACUGCUGUUCCAUAAACAUAAAACAAUAGCAGGUUAAUAUAUCAAAUGUAUACAUAAAGUCUUCCCACUGUGCAUAACUGUUCCAUAUAUUACUGUUAUAUCUUCUGAGAUUAAGUAAACACAGAAUGUAAUGUACUGUACAUAAAUAUAGCACUACUGAAUCAUAAUAAAAACUUAAAAAUACCUUUUUACCAUGAGAACUGUGCCAGAAUCUCUCAGUGAAAAUACUGGUUAGCUGAAAUGAGAAGGCUUUUUUCUUUUACCAGAAAUAUACCAAUUUCAGCAAAAUUUCAGUUUCAAGAAGGAUUUUCUUGUUAAGCCUGGAUAGAACCUAUGAUAGGCAACCAGACAAUGGAUGUCUGUGAACCAAGAGGGAACAAAGACUUCUGGAAAAGCACACCCCGCUAUGCCAGCUCUGGCAGGUCCGCCCAUGCAGCAGGCAGCUGAAUGUCAGAGCCAAUUGCUAAUCCACCAAAGUGACAAUGAAGAGUUCAGGGCUGCAUGGGCUGAAGACAACAUAAAAGAGAAAAACAUGAAGCCACUAUAUUCACUUCUGUGGUCUUGUGUGAGUUCACCAUAUUACCUUCUUACCCUGCAUUCAUUUCAUUAUCAAGCAAUCACCUGAAGCAUAAUUUCUUCGCUUGUUCUCUUGAUAGAACAUUUUACUUUCUUUAGAAUGUUUGACUCUAUUUGCAGAGGCAGGCUAAAUAAACAUUUUAUUUGUGCUAUGAAAUGAGUGAAGUGAGCUCCUGCAAGGAGGCUGCUUUGUUGAGUCAAAUUUAUACUCUCAUUUUGAGUGUUGAGCUUAUACCAUUCUUCACUUCACAGGAAAAGAUACACUUUACGCUAAUGCACAGUAAUCUCUGUACAAUCCCAACUCACUUUCUCUGCUUUCAGCCACGCCCUAGUGGGAAAUUUCUCUGAGAAAUUAACAUGGGAAUUGUCUCUUAGCUGCAUUUUCAAAUAUAUUUAUCGGUUAAAUUUUUUUUUGUAGCAUUAUGACAAAGAGAUUUUACUAAUUAACACUAAUAGAUCUGUGAUAACAGAUAAAAGACAGACACCGGAAACUUCUACAUGUGGACCAUUUACUUUUCUGGCACAUUUUGAACAUGAAAUAAGUUAAAUUACUGUUGUUUUCAAAACACAUUAUAAAUUGGAAAAGUGAUGAGUGAAAAAAAUAAGGCAUUCACCAAGUAUUAACUAUUAAGACUGAAGUCAGUUAUAGAUGGUCUCACACUGUUUUUAUUUUCUGUGAUCAGUAUAAUAGAGUGGUUGUAUAUAAUAGAUAAUGCCAGCUAUUUCAGUAUGGGUGUCUUGCAAAAGCUAAAUAAAUAAAAAGUGACUUAGCUUUUAUUUACCUUGCAGCAGGUGAGAAAAUAAGGUGACAGUGAAAUAAAUUAUUUUUUCCUGCCAGCUAAGCAUGUCGUCAAUCCUUCUUACUAAAGUAAUGAAGCAAGGAAACAAUAUUUUGUUUUCUUUUCACUGGGUGGUGGAGUUUUACAUCAAAAAGGAAGAUAACACUUCAAAUUUGAGAAUAGCUGUGGCGUGGUAUUACCGUCUGCCUCUUAAGUCAUGAUCUGCUUUCUGUUUUAAAAUAAUCUGAAAUGGCCCUAGACUAUCCUGUCAUGACUAUUGCCUCAUAGGAAUUGCUUGCAUAGCAUGUAAAGAACACAUAUGGACAAUUUAUUUGGGUCUCAGUGUCACUCUGCUGUGGAAAUAUUAUUUACGUACUGCACAGGAUUUCUUAAAGGAAAUGCUUGUGUCUUCUGUCCAUAAUCAGAUGCUCAGAAUUUCUUGUAAAAGUGGGACUGUCGAGAGCUAGUGCAAAAGAAAAAAAAAAAAAUCCUUAUUUAUUUCCUUGUAAUUCAUUCUUUCACUUGAGAGUCCAGGCUUCAGUUUAAAUUUCAGGGAUGCCAUUCAGAGUAAAGUAUUCGUAGAAUUUUAAAAAUGGCCUUUUAUAAAGGCAGCAGUGGAAAUGGUGAUCUGUUAUUUACUUUCCCUGGCAAAAUUGCAGGGUGGCUUUUCUCCAUGGGCCCUUUGAUAUUAGACUAUUAAAUCCACUUUCACUACCAGUCCAGGACUUCUGAAAACUUCUAGACUACGUACAUAUGACAGCUUUGAGAAGCAGUGGGAGGAAAGUGAAAGACGGUGUAAAACUGAAUUCUGUGGCAACUGGGCAAAUUGCCAGUAAAUUCAAUGAAGCUUUUCAUUAAAUUUAGUGUGUUUUACAUUAAAGCUGAAUUUGGCCCACUGUCUACAGCUAUUAAAGUUAUACAGCUUUACAAAGUUACAUGAAAUUUUACGUACUUGAAAAAAUUCAGUAUAAUGUUGAAUCUAUUUUAAACCCACUUGAAAAAUACUUUUAAAUUAUCCUGUUAGGGAUUCAUAUGGUGUGUGGCUUCUCUCUUUAUUUUCUGUCUGAAUGGAUCAGAUGAAGCACAUGGUGAUUGGUUCCCAGAGUUUUCUGUAUACACUUGGCAGCAUCAAAUGAAAAUAUGUAUACAUUUGUUUAUAAGAAAAUUCUUCUGUUGUUGUGAGAUUUUUUUUAUAACUGUCGUAGAGUGAUAGAUAAUUAAGAUUUUUCUCUUUCCCGCUUUAAUUUUGUCUUGGGUUGAUGUUAUAAUAAUGACCAGCUUCUUUCAUCAGUAAAUGUUCAGGAGUUAAAGAUUUUAGGACCUCUAUAAAGAAAAUACAUAAUUUAAUGUCUUAAAGGAUGUGGAAAAAUGACAUUCUUUCCUGCCCAUCCUAAGGAGGUAUGAAUAGAGAAUUUCAAAGAAGACAGAUCAAAUAAAACAACGAGACCCGCUUGCAGGAUUGCAUCCCUAUUUAGGAUGCAUGUUUCUAGUUUUGCAACUCCUGGAUAAGCAAUAGAAGAUGUUGCAGACAGGGAGUGUUAUUAGUGGUUGGUUUUUUAUGGUAGGUCUUUGGGAAUAGUCUGGACAGGAAAUCACAUGGUAAUGUGUAAGGGGAUACAGGGAAGAGAUCAAAGCUAAAAUUUCCCCUUUGCAUGCAAAUAGCAGCAAGUUUGGCAGUAUAUAUUUUGCUUGGUUGAGAAAGUUAUGUUCAUUAGCUCCUAAUUUGGGACCAAGAGGGUACUACAGGUCCCUUGGUACAGAAGAGAAAGUUAUAUUCACUGAUAUUAGAUCAUUGCUGUAUCCUGUAGAUUCAUUCAGGGAUGCCAGUUUUUAGCAUUGCCAAGUUAAUUUCUAUUAACAGCACAUCUGUAAGAUGAAGAACAUUAGCAGGAUUUGGCUCAUAACCAGACAGGUACUGAGUUAUCCCAAAAUACAAGAAGAGUUGGCAGUUACUUAGGGUGGAAGUCAGCACACAAUGCUCAAAACACUGCUCAGGGGGAGUUCAGCUGGUUUACUUUGAAAGGACCCCCCCACCUCCUACCUCACUGGGGUUUUUUUUGUGUGUAACAAGGUGGUUAGUCCUGCAUGAGGCAGCUGUUUUUCCAGCAGCAUUCACAAUCUACAACCCCAACAGCAAAAGCAACAAUGUUUUGUGUAAGUCUGCUCCCUUUCCCUGUCAUAAGUUCUUUCUCUCCAUGUUUUGGUCAAACUCCAAUUAUUUUCUUUUUAAAAUAAAAUUUUAAAAUAUAUCCAGUUACUUAAUUUUCUCUUGAAAUUAAUUUCCAUUCUGUUCAUUUCAAGCACACCUUUUUAUUGCUGGCCUUGCUGACAAUAAAGUGACUUUUGUCCUAUAUUGGUUAUGCUGCAUCAAAGCCCUUCUCAGGCUUAAAACUUCCCUCUAGCAAUUACUCACUAUUUUAAUUUAUCCCUGAUUAUUUAACUAAUAAUUCAAUGACUUCAAAAACUUAAGAAGAGACAGGCAAGAAUGUACAAUUCUUGAUGGUUUUUAUUUUUUUGUUCCUCUGUCACCACAGAGGGUGUCCCUUAAUUAUGUAUUUAAAUUAUUGAUGUUUCUUGAUUGUAGAGAAGACUAUCAUCUGAGUGCCUUUUGUUUGAAUUUCUAUCAUUUUACUCUGCCAAAACUAUAUAGAAAAAUAUGGCACUUAUUGUAGUUUACUGUAUGUUGUCAGUAAACUCGCCGAAACAAAUGAAGUAGGACUGCAUCUUUCAGUGACACAAAAUGCAUUUGAAAGAAGAAAAAGAAAUUACACAAUGACAGGAGGAACUGUGAGCCAAUAGGAAUAUAAAAUGUAUUCACCUUCUUGUUAUCUCCCAGCAUUCAGAUGAUCAUAACAGUUUAGAAAGCAUACUGCCCACACCACAGGAUCUUGCUCCUCUUUAAUUUUCUCUAAUUUGUGUAGUGAAUAACCAAAUACUCAUAAUGCAAUUAGAAGAUAAUCAGGCUUGUAAUUAUGUUAAUUGCUGGAGACUUACAUCAAUCCUCCAGCAAAGUGAUAGGAUUUCAGGGGAACUAUUAACAUGGGAAGAGAGAGGAAGCACACAUGAGAGAGAAAGAGAUUGGGGGAGUGGGUAAAUUGAUGAACAGCUUAGGCUUGUAUCAUUGAACAACAAUGAGAAUACAAUGGUGAAACAAAUGAAAAGGGCCUCAAGGGGAGAAGCUCAGAAAAUGAGGUUUUAGGUACCAGCAACUCAACCUCUUUUGUCUGUUUUCUUCCCAUAAAUAAUCAUGUUGUGCAUCUGUAUUUAUUGUAAUAAGCCCAAUUCAGAGAAAUCGGAUCCAUAGCUGAACAGAGAACAAAGGGGAACUGUUCAGCUAUGCAGCAGUUUGCCAUGUCUCCCACACCACUGAAAGAGCCACUGUAUUACCUUCUGUCCUCGACUCCUGGGGGUAUUCUUUUCUCAUGGUGAUGUCCGAUAUUACAUUUAAAGCCAUAAUACUGCAACUGCAAUGGGCUGUCUCAGAAAUGUCAUGGAUCAGUCAUAAUCUCUGAAGAACAUACAAUACAGAGUGGACUGACAGAAUUUAUGAAGUAAUCCACAGUGGAAAUGUUUUUUGGUGUUUUUAUUUACCUUUUUGUCAGUACCUCAUCGGGGUUGUAAUGAUUGUUUAAGCCUUUUGAAAGUGAGUUUUGUCAGAUGUAGUCUGAUACAAACUGUAGAUGAUGACUGUACUCUAUUAGGGUGGCUAUUU